UACGUAGGCAGCAAGCGUUGUUCGGAGUUACUGGGCGUAAAGGGUGCGUAGGCGGCUUGGUAAGUGUGGUGUGAAAUCUCCCAGCUCAACUGGGAGGGUGCGCUACAAACUGCCGGGCUAGAGUGCGGGAGAGGAGAGUGGAAUUCCUGGUGUAGCGGUGAAAUGCGUAGAUAUCAGGAGGAACACCGGUGGUGUAAACGGCUCUCUGGACCGUAACUGACGCUGAGACACGAAAGCGUGGGUAGCAAACAGG
This 253-nucleotide ribosomal RNA is filed under the name uncultured bacterium. RNAcentral describes it as "partial 16S ribosomal RNA". It matches the Rfam family "Bacterial small subunit ribosomal RNA", at positions 524 to 776 of the family's 1533-position model. The record is from RNAcentral.